UCCGACGGGAGGCAGCAGUGGGGAAUUUUGGACAAUGGGCGAAAGCCUGAUCCAGCAAUGCCGCGUGUGUGAAGAAGGCCUUCGGGUUGUAAAGCACUUUUGUUCGGGAAGAAAAGGAGCGGGCUAAUAUCCUGCUCUGAUGACGGUACCGGAAGAAUAAGCACCGGCUAACUACGUGCCAGCAGCCGCGGUAAUACGUAGGGUGCAAGCGUUAAUCGGAAUUACUGGGCGUAAAGCGUGCGCAGGCGGUUGGUUAAGACAGAUGUGAAAUCCCCGGGCUCAACCUGGGAACUGCAUUUGUGACUGGCAAGCUAGAGUCUGGCAGAGGGGGGUGGAAUUCCGCGUGUAGCAGUGAAAUGCGUAGAUAUGCGGAGGAACACCGAUGGCGAAGGCAGCCCCCUGGGCCAACACUGACGCUCAUGCACGAAAGCGUGGGGAGCAAACAGGAUUAGAUACCCUGGUAGUCCACGCCCUAAACGAUGUCAACUAGUUGUUGGGGAUUCAUUUCCUUAGUAACGUAGCUAACGCGUGAAGUUGACCGCCUGGGGAGUACGGUCGCAAGAUUAAAACUCAAAUGAAUUGACGGCA
Molecule: ribosomal RNA, 588 nt
Filed under: uncultured bacterium
Lineage: Bacteria
Description: bacterial SSU rRNA
Rfam family: Bacterial small subunit ribosomal RNA
Source: RNAcentral